GUCUGGAUAGCUCAGUUGGUUAGAGCAUGGCACUGACAAUGCCAAGGUUUCAGGUUCAAUCCCCAUGUGGGACA
RNAcentral lists this transfer RNA (74 nucleotides) under Podarcis lilfordi (Lilford's wall lizard). It matches the Rfam family "tRNA". Rfam says of the family: Transfer RNA (tRNA) molecules are approximately 80 nucleotides in length. Their secondary structure includes four short double-helical elements and three loops (D, anti-codon, and T loops). Lineage: Eukaryota; Metazoa; Chordata; Lepidosauria; Squamata; Lacertidae. The record is from Rfam by way of RNAcentral.